RNAcentral lists this long non-coding RNA (912 nucleotides) under Homo sapiens (human). RNAcentral's name for it is "HSALNT0314589". Lineage: Eukaryota; Metazoa; Chordata; Mammalia; Primates; Hominidae. The record is from RNAcentral.
CUUCAGCAGAUGGAGAAGGAGAGGUGGGAACUCCAGGAAGAAGAGACAGUUUUCUGAUGACUUGCCGGCCUCCAGUGUAGCCCACACCUCCUGGACUCUCCGUCGCCUCCCAGUUGCCUUUCAGCACAACCUCCACUGUUCUGGAGAGUGCGCUUAGGCUUGGACUUCUCCGAGCUCCAUUGCACAUGAAGUCAGUUUCUUCAAAAGCUACUCACACCUUCUGUUUUCUGCCUGCUGCUUUCCCAGGCAAACUCUCUGAGCCAGAGCUAUGGUGCUGGACACAGUGGUGCAUCUCUCUCUGGUGACACCUGCACAUCAGGAGCUGGGUGCUUGGUGAAUGGGGCAGUAGCCCCAGUGUUCAUCGGCUGUCCUCUCUUAGCAGGGAACCCCACCCCAUGAGCCAGGGAAGGGCGGCCGGGCCCCAGUAUUCUCAUGGGUGCUGCACUCAAGGCAGAGCCUCCAUCCCAUGAGUGGGGCCUGUGUGGAAGACAAGAGCCUCCACCUCUCAACCCACUUUCCUGGGCUGAGCAAGCGGUCUCAGCAAGCGGUAGCUGGUGGCAUGAUAAGAAAAGAUAACAUUCUGCCCCUCUUAGCAAGCAAAUCUCCCAGGCAGGAGCUAGGGGGUGAGGGAGUCCUGUGAUCUUGGAGAAAGCAGUCUGGAGUGGAGCCCCCCUCACUGGGGUGGGGAGUCAGGGAGGACGGGCAUCUUAUUUCACACACUGCAGGCCCUUGGUGUUCUUCCCAGGUGUUAGUAGGUUUUCUUAAUAAACGCUUCUUCAUUUGCUGUGUGCCCUUGGAAUCAUCCCAGAGAUUUUAUUUUAGUUUUUAUUUAUUUAUUUAUUUAUUUAAGACGGAAUUUUGCUCUUGACACCCAGGCUGGAAUGCAACGGCACGACCUUGGCUCACUGCAAC